GACGAACGCUGGCGGCGUGCUUAACACAUGCAAGUCGAACGGAAAGGCCCUGCUUGCAGGGUACUCGAGUGGCGAACGGGUGAGUAACACGUGGGUGAUCUGCCCUGCACUUCGGGAUAAGCCUGGGAAACGGGGUCUAAUACCGGAUAGGAGCCAUUUUUAGUGUGAUGGUUGGAAAGUUUUUUCGGUGUAGGAUGAGCUCGCGGCCUAUCAGCUUGUUGGUGGGGUAAUGGCCUACCAAGGCGGCGACGGGUAGCCGGCCUGAGAGGCUGGACGGCCACCUUGGGACUGAGAUACGGCCCAGACUCCGACGGGAGGCAGAAGGGGGGAAUAUUGCACAAUGGGCGCAAGCCGGAUGCAGCGACGCCGCGUGGGGGAUGACGGCCUUCGGGUUGUAGACACCUUUCGCUAGGGACGAAGCUUUUUGUGACGGUACCUAGAUAAGAAGCACCGGCUAACUACGUG
Molecule: ribosomal RNA, 465 nt
Filed under: uncultured bacterium
Lineage: Bacteria
Description: partial 16S ribosomal RNA
Rfam family: Bacterial small subunit ribosomal RNA
Source: RNAcentral